UGGCUGGGGUGAAAGGCCAAUCAAACCGGAGAUAGCUGGUUCCCCGAAAGCUAUUUAGGUAGCGCCUCGUGAAUUCAUCUCCGGGGGUAGAGCACUGUUUCGGGGGGCCAUCCCGGCUUACCAACCCGAUGCAAACUGCGAAUACCGGAGAAUGUUAUCACGGGAGACACACGGCGGGUGCUAACGUCCGUCGUGAAGAGGGAAACAACCCAGACCGCCAGCUAAGGUCCCAAAGUCAUGGUUAAUGGGAACGAUGUGGGAAGGCACAGACAGCCAGGAUGUGGCUUAGAAGCAGCCAUCAUUUAAAGAAAGCGUAAUAGCUCACUGGUCGAGUCGCCUGCGCGGAAGAUGUAACGGGCUAAACCAUGCACCGAAGCUGCGGCAGCGACACUAUGUGUUGUUGGGUAGGGAGCGUUCUGUAAGCCGUCGAAGGUGACCUGUGAGGGUUGCUGGAGGUAUCAGAAGUGCGAAUGCUGACAUAAGUAACGAUAAAGCGGGUGAAAAGCCCGCUCGCCGGAAGACCAAGGGUUCCUGUCCAACGUUAAUCGGGGCAGGGUGAGUCGACCCCUAAGGCGAGGCCGAAAGGCGUAGUCGAUGGGAAACAGGUUAAUAUUCCUGUACUCGGUGUUACUGCGAAGGGGGGACGGAGAAGGCUAUGUUGGCCGGGCGACGGUUGUCCCGGUUUAAGCAUGUAGGCGGAGGUUCCAGGUAAAUCCGGUACCUUAUUAACGCUGAGGUGUGAUGACGAGGCACUACGGUGCUGAAGCAACAAAUGCCCUGCUUCCAGGAAAAGCCUCUAAGCAUCAGGUAACACCAAAUCGUACCCCAAACCGACACAGGUGGUCAGGUAGAGAAUACCAAGGCGCUUGAGAGAACUCGGGUGAAGGAACUAGGCAAAAUGGUGCCGUAACUUCGGGAGAAGGCACGCUGAUAUGUAGGUGAAGCCCCUGCGGGUGGAGCUGAAAUCAGUCGAAGAUACCAGCUGGCUGCAACUGUUUAUUAAAAACACAGCACUGUGCAAACACGAAAGUGGACGUAUACGGUGUGACGCCUGCCCGGUGCCGGAAGGUUAAUUGAUGGGGUUAGCGGCAACGCGAAGCUCUUGAUCGAAGCCCCGGUAAACGGCGGCCGUAACUAUAACGGUCCUAAGGUAGCGAAAUUCCUUGUCGGGUAAGUUCCGACCUGCACGAAUGGCGUAAUGAUGGCCAGGCUGUCUCCACCCGAGACUCAGUGAAAUUGAAAUCGCUGUGAAGAUGCAGUGUACCCGCGGCAAGACGGAAAGACCCCGUGAACCUUUACUAUAGCUUGACACUGAACACUGGUCCUUGAUGUGUAGGAUAGGUGGGAGGCUUUGAAGCGUGGACGCCAGUCUGCGUGGAGCCAUCCUUGAAAUACCACCCUUUAAUGGCUGGUGUUCUAACGUGGGCCCGUAAUCCGGGUUGCGGACAGUGUCUGGUGGGUAGUUUGACUGGGGCGGUCUCCUCCUAAAGAGUAACGGAGGAGCACGAAGGUUAGCUAAUCCUGGUCGGACAUCAGGAGGUUAGUGCAAUGGCAUAAGCUAGCUUGACUGCGAGAGUGACGGCUCGAGCAGGUGCGAAAGCAGGUCAUAGUGAUCCGGUGGUUCUGUAUGGAAGGGCCAUCGCUCAACGGAUAAAAGGUACUCCGGGGAUAACAGGCUGAUACCGCCCAAGAGUUCAUAUCGACGGCGGUGUUUGGCACCUCGAUGUCGGCUCAUCACAUCCUGGGGCUGAAGUAGGUCCCAAGGGUACGGCUGUUCGCCGUUUAAAGUGGUACGCGAGCUGGGUUUAGAACGUCGUGAGACAGUUCGGUCCCUAUCUGCCGUGGGCGCUGGAGAAUUGAGGGGGGCUGCUCCUAGUACGAGAGGACCGGAGUGGACGCAUCACUGGUGUUCGGGUUGUCAUGCCAAUGGCACUGCCCGGUAGCUAAAUGCGGAAAAGAUAAGUGCUGAAAGCAUCUAAGCACGAAACUUGCCCCGAGAUGAGUUCUCCCUGAGCCUUUAAGGCUCCUGAAGGAACGUUGAAGACGACGACGUUGAUAGGUCGGGUGUGUAAGCGCAGCGAUGCGUUGAGCUAACCGAUACUAAUGAACCGUGAGGCUUAACCUU
This 2125-nucleotide ribosomal RNA is filed under the name Leclercia adecarboxylata. RNAcentral's name for it is "bacterial LSU rRNA". It matches the Rfam family "Bacterial large subunit ribosomal RNA", at positions 813 to 2925 of the family's 2925-position model. The record is from RNAcentral. Lineage: Bacteria; Pseudomonadati; Pseudomonadota; Gammaproteobacteria; Enterobacterales; Enterobacteriaceae.